AACGAACGCUGGCGGCGUGCUUAACACAUGCAAGUCGAGCGGGAAAGUUUCCUUCGGGAAGCGAGUACAGCGGCAGACGGGUGAGUACGACGUAGGUAACCUACCCUCGAGACUGGGAUAACCUGUCGAAAGACGGGCUAAUACCGGAUAAGACCACAAGGGCUGCGGCCUUUGAGGUAGAAGAUGGCCUCUGCUUGCAAGCUAUCACUUGGGGAUGGGCCCGCGCGCCAUUAGCAGUUGGUGAGGUAACGGUC
Molecule: ribosomal RNA, 254 nt
Filed under: uncultured bacterium
Lineage: Bacteria
Description: partial 16S ribosomal RNA
Rfam family: Bacterial small subunit ribosomal RNA
Source: RNAcentral